Molecule: ribosomal RNA, 465 nt
Filed under: uncultured bacterium
Lineage: Bacteria
Description: partial 16S ribosomal RNA
Rfam family: Bacterial small subunit ribosomal RNA
Source: RNAcentral
GACGAACGCUGGCGGCGUGCUUAACACAUGCAAGUCGAACGGAAAGGCCCUGCUUGCAGGGUACUCGAGUGGCGAACGGGUGAGUAACACGUGGGUGAUCUGCCCUGCACUUCGGGUUAAGCCUGGGCAACUGGGUCUAAUACCGGACAGGAGCCAUUUUGAAUGUGAUGGUUGGAAAGUUAUUUCCGGGUGGGAUGAGCUGGCUGCCUAUCGGCUUGUUGGUGGGGUUAUGGCCUACCAAGGCGGCUGCGGGUAGCCGGCCUGUGAGGGUGGCCGGCCACCUUGGGACUGAGAUACGGCACAGACUCCUACGGGAGGCAGCAGUGGGGAAUAUUGCACGAUGGGCGCAAGCCUGAUGCAGCGAGGCCGCGUGGGGGAUGACGGCCUUCGGGUUGUAAACUACUUUCGCUAGGGACGAAGCUUUUUGUGACGGUACCUAGAUAAGAAGCCCCGGCUAACUACGUG